Molecule: non-coding RNA, 1990 nt
Organism: Arvicanthis niloticus (Nile rat)
Lineage: Eukaryota; Metazoa; Chordata; Mammalia; Rodentia; Muridae
Source: RefSeq, a predicted model, not a curated record
CGGGGUCUACAGCAAGGGAGCUUUCCAAGCUGAGGAACUGGCGGGCGCUAGCAAUGGAGUCGGUUGCUGUUGAGAGCUCCCCAGCUCUAGAGAAUGAACACUUUCAAGAGACCCCAGAAUCGAACAGCAGUGUGUAUACCUCCUUCAUGAAAUCUCAUCGCUGCUAUGACCUGAUUCCCACAAGCUCCAAGCUGGUCGUAUUUGACACUUCGCUGCAGGUAAAGAAAGCCUUCUUUGCCCUGGUGACUAACGGUGUUCGCGCUGCCCCUUUGUGGGACAGUAAGAAGCAGAGUUUUGUGGGCAUGCUGACCAUCACUGACUUCAUCAAUAUUCUGCACCGAUACUAUAAGUCAGCCCUGGUGCAGAUCUAUGAACUGGAGGAGCACAAGAUAGAGACUUGGAGAGAGGUGUACCUGCAGGACUCCUUUAAGCCACUUGUCUGCAUUUCUCCAAAUGCCAGCUUGUUUGACGCUGUCUCUUCAUUAAUCCGAAAUAAGAUCCAUAGGCUCCCAGUCAUCGACCCGGAGUCAGGCAACACCUUGUACAUCCUCACUCACAAGCGGAUCCUCAAGUUCCUCAAGUUGUUUAUCACCGAGUUCCCCAAGCCGGAAUUCAUGUCUAAGUCUCUGGAAGAGCUACAGAUUGGCACCUAUGCCAAUAUUGCCAUGGUCCGCACUACCACGCCCGUCUACGUGGCUCUGGGCAUCUUUGUACAGCACCGAGUCUCCGCCUUGCCUGUGGUCGAUGAGAAAGGUGAGGUAUUGGGCAAGAAGAGGGAGGCUGCCUGGGUCAGGUCACUCUCCCCUCAACCCAGCCUGGAAGGGGAUCCCGUGUGGAGCGGGAGCUUUGGCUACUGCAUUCUGUUUUGUUUUACUGAGCUGCCUGUCUCCCCAGGGCGUGUGGUGGACAUCUACUCCAAGUUUGAUGUGAUCGUGAGUGGGGUGGAGGGGCUGGGAGGUAGGGAAGGGGAGGGUGUGUUGGAUGUAGAGAGGGAGCAGAAGGGGGUCUCCUCUGCCUUGGGCGCCUCUGAAUCCUAUCUGAACAAGGUGACAGAACUGAUUACGGCUAGUGAGCAGAGCUAAGGAGUACCCUCAGUCUCAGUCCCUCUGGUGAGGCUGGGUGGGUCCAGGGUUUGGGAACUGACUCCCUUUCAAGCCCCCCCCACAACACACACUUCCAGAAUUUGGCAGCAGAAAAGACCUACAACAACCUAGAUGUGUCUGUGACAAAAGCCCUACAACAUCGGUCACACUACUUCGAGGGUGUUCUCAAGUGCUACCUGCAUGAGACUCUGGAAGCCAUCAUCAAUAGGCUGGUGGAAGCAGAGGUUCACCGUCUGGUGGUGGUGGAUGAGCAUGACGUGGUCAAGGGCAUUGUUUCGCUGUCUGACAUCUUGCAGGCUCUGGUGCUCACGGGUGGAGAGAAGAGACCCUGAGCACGGGGAGGAGCGGGCAGUGCCUGGGGACAUGGCCCCUCACUGCCUGCCUGCAGGAAGCACCAGGAAUCAGAUGGAAUCCAGGGAGAACUGAGUCUUCCCUCAGGAGCUCCAUGCCCACUGUCUAGAACUAGAGAAGAGAAAGGAGGAGGACUGUUACACUGAGAGAAUGUCAGCCUAGCCAGUCCCAUCCCCUGACACAGCCCCCUCUGGGUGAGCCACUGGCUUUGUGCUCCUCAGGCAGACCCUGGUCUCUAAGAGAUCCCUAGGCCUCACCACACCCCACCUCCGCCCCACCUCCGUCCCUGCCCUUACCCCACCUGAGAUGAUAGCUCAGAAGUCUUGGUAAAGUAUUUUUAUUCAUCUUGCUUCACUGUGUGGAGGAGGCUGGGCCUGUUUGCUGUCAGUCCUUCCCAUGAGUCUUGGGAGGCGCGUCCGGGUUCCUGUACCGCACAGAUGAAGGCAGAUGGCCAUGUGGAGGAGGGGGGGGGUAGGGAGCCAGGAUUAAUGCUUUUUGUGGCGAAUCUAAUUAAAUGACAAGGUUUCAUCAUGGUA